AUGGCUCUAGUGGGUCAGCCAGCCACGUUCUGCUACGACGGCUUCAUCGCUGACGGUGUGCCGGCGCUCAUGGACGCCGGCGGCGUCGGGUUCGGCUACGGGUACGAUCACCACUCCCAUCUCCUCGAGGAGGAAUGCUUGCUCGGUGGCCACGCCCACGCAUGGGAAUUGCCGACCGGCAAUCUUGGCGCCGAGGCGCCGGGCAGCGUCAACGCGUUCGGGGGCCACGACCUCGGCUGGACCAGCCCAGCCGGCCGCAUGUCCUCCUCCUCUUCGGUGCUCACCUUCGACAGCCCGGGAGAGGACAACUGCGCCGCUGCCGCGUGGAUGGACGCCGCGGACCAGCUGAGCUACAGCCCGUCAACGGCAACCGCGCCGGCGGGAAGCUUCAGCUUCGAGGGCUGCGGCGGCAACGGCCGCACGGCGGCAUCCCCUUCGCACAAGCGGCCUCGAGCGCGCGCGCAGGCACAGCAGGGCUCGGAGCAAGAAAGCACCACUCUUCCCAAGAAACAGUGCGGCGGCGACAGGAAAUCGGCAACCAAGCCCACCAAAACGUCCGCGGCCACCAGUUCGGCCAAGGACACUCAGAGCGAUGCAGCCAAGACUCGUCGUGAGCGGAUCGGGGAGCGGCUGAGAGUUCUGCAGGAGCUGGUGCCCAACGGCAGCAAGGUGGACAUGGUCACCAUGCUCGACAAGGCCAUCACUUACGUCAAGUUCAUGCAGCUCCAGCUUACGGUGCUCGAGACGGACGCAUUCUGGCCUGCUCAGGGCGGCGAGGCGCCGGAGAUCUCCCAGGUGAAGGCGGCACUCGACGCCAUCAUCCUCUCGUCGUCGCAGCAGCCUCGUCAGUGGAGCUAA
Molecule: ribosomal RNA, 858 nt
Filed under: Triticum aestivum (bread wheat)
Lineage: Eukaryota; Viridiplantae; Streptophyta; Magnoliopsida; Poales; Poaceae
Description: partial small subunit ribosomal RNA
Source: RNAcentral